GGAUGACUCAGCCACACAUGGAAUGCCCAAAACCAAUCUUCCUGCUAAUGCCAAAGAGUCUUUAUGCAUGCACACACCCAGCACUAGCCAUUUGGAAUUUGGCUAUUCUCCCUUCUAAAGCCAUCUGUCCAAAUAAAGAGAGAGUGUGUAGUCUUAUUUGUGGCACUGAUAAAGCUGCCACAGCAACCCAAGGCCCAAACUGCACCUGUUCCCAACUGCCCAGCAGAGCACAGAGCAAUGGCACAGGGCAGCACCGGAGACUGGGGCAGGGAAUGACGAGGGACGAAGAUGAAAAAAAGUCAUUUCUCAAGGAAGAAGACAGAAUUUAUCUAAGCAGACCUGUCCUCUAA
This 350-nucleotide long non-coding RNA is filed under the name Mustela putorius furo (domestic ferret). Its description in RNAcentral is "lncRNA (ENSMPUG00000027868.1)". The record is from RNAcentral. Lineage: Eukaryota; Metazoa; Chordata; Mammalia; Carnivora; Mustelidae.